Long non-coding RNA from Varanus komodoensis (Komodo dragon), 213 nucleotides. RefSeq lists it as uncharacterized. The transcript has 2 exons. The record is from RefSeq and is a predicted model, not a curated record. NCBI's taxonomy places the organism in Eukaryota, Metazoa, Chordata, Lepidosauria, Squamata, Varanidae.
GAAGCGUGCACAAACGGCGAGCGUGUGCCACAGCGAACCAGGAGACGGCCCUGAGACCCUUUAUUAGACUGAGCCUUCCGCCGCCGCCGCCGCCUUCCCCCGAAGAAGUAAGAAGUUUCCGAAAUACGUCCGCCCACCACCACACUCACGAUAGAAUGAUGUGCAUUGUGUAUCAUUCACAUUCUCCAAUACAUGAAUGCCAUGAUUGUAAAA